GGCUGCAACUCGCCUGCAUGAAGUCGGAAUUGCUAGUAAUCGCGGAUCAGAAUGCCGCGGUGAAUACGUUCCCGGGUCUUGUACACACCGCCCGUCACACCAUGGGAGUCGGAAAUGCCCGAAGUCUGUGACCCAACCAUUAAGGAGGGAGCAGCCGAAGGCAGGUCGGAUGACUGGGGUGAAGUCGUAACAAGGUACC
RNAcentral lists this ribosomal RNA (199 nucleotides) under uncultured bacterium. Its description in RNAcentral is "partial 16S ribosomal RNA". It matches the Rfam family "Bacterial small subunit ribosomal RNA", at positions 1303 to 1500 of the family's 1533-position model. The record is from RNAcentral.